RNAcentral lists this ribosomal RNA (253 nucleotides) under uncultured bacterium. Its description in RNAcentral is "partial 16S ribosomal RNA". It matches the Rfam family "Bacterial small subunit ribosomal RNA", at positions 524 to 776 of the family's 1533-position model. The record is from RNAcentral.
UACGGAGGUGGCGAGCGUUGUCCGGAUUUAUUGGGCGUAAAGCGCGCGCAGGUGGUGCGGUAAGUCUGUCGUGAAAUCUCCCGGCUCAACUGGGAGGGUGCGGUGGAGACUGCCGGACUGGAGGCACUCAGAGGCCGGUGGAAUUACCGGUGUAGUGGUGAAAUGCGUAGAGAUCGGGAGGAACACCAGUGGCGAAGGCGGCCGGCUGGGGGUGACCUGACGCUGAGGCGCGAAAGCGUGGGGAGCGAACCGG